RNAcentral lists this small RNA (794 nucleotides) under Pongo abelii (Sumatran orangutan). RNAcentral's name for it is "retained intron". Lineage: Eukaryota; Metazoa; Chordata; Mammalia; Primates; Hominidae. The record is from RNAcentral.
CUCGAACUCCUGACCUCAGGUGAUCCGCCUGCCUUGGCCUCCCAAAGUGCUGGGAUUAAAGGCGCGAGCCACCGUGCCCAGCCUACCUCUGCCUCCUCCUGCCCCCUCCCUAGCGUCUUUGCUGUUGUCUGCUAUGACCUUGUGAUUGGAGGAGUGGGUGGCUGUCUACUGAAAGUCCCUAAUGCUCCUCUCUCCUUUACUAGAGGAGGUCCUGACCGGGAUCCAGGGCCUCGGUACCAGCCAUUCCGCCUAACCCCGUAUGUGACCAAGAUCCGGGUCUCAGAUGGGGCCCCUGCACAGCCGUGCUGCCUGCUGAUUGCAGAGCGCAUCCAUUCGGGUUAUGAAGCUCCCCGGAUACCCCCUGACAAGAGGAUUUUCACUACGCGGCACACACCUAGCUGCCUCUUCCAGGAUGUGGAUGAAAGGUGAGGAUAGGACCUAGAGGAGACGAGGGCAGCCAGGGCUGAGGCCAUGGCCACUCUGAUGCCUCCUUCUGGUUCAGGGCUGCCCCCCUGCUGGGCUACCUGCCCCAGGACCUCCUGGGGGCCCCAGUGCUCCUGUUCCUGCAUCCUGAGGACCGACCCCUCAUGCUGGCUAUCCACAAGAAGAUCCUGCAGUUGGCGGGCCAGCCCUUUGACCACUCCCCUAUCCGCUUCUGUGCCCGCAACGGGGAGUAUGUCACCAUGGACACCAGCUGGGCUGGCUUUGUGCACCCCUGGAGCCGCAAGGUAGCCUUCGUGUUGGGCCGCCACAAAGUACGCACGGCCCCCCUGAAUGAGGACGUGUUCACUCCC